RNAcentral lists this long non-coding RNA (395 nucleotides) under Capsicum annuum. RNAcentral describes it as "long non-coding RNA (CANN_LNC008088)". Lineage: Eukaryota; Viridiplantae; Streptophyta; Magnoliopsida; Solanales; Solanaceae. The record is from RNAcentral.
UUAUCAUUCAACACAAUGGCUUCAACACUAGGUGGACUUAAAUUGAUCUUACAAGAAGAGUCAAUUCGGUCAUCAAUAGGGUCAACUAGUGUAUCCAUACUCACAAUAAGUACAUCAUCAACAAGAGGUAAAGAAUCAAUAGAAUCACAAAUAGGUAAGCUACUAGUCACACUUAAUAACUACUGGCCACACAAUUACCAUUCACAUGCAGAAAAGUAUAAGAGUUAGCUAUUUUACCUUGAAGUUCUUGAGUAGAUUCUUCUUUGCCGUGGUGUGAAGGUUUCCCACAUGCUUCGGCAGCAACUUCUCCUUGGCCUUGUGCUCCUCCACUUGCCAUAUUAGUACCUACACAAAUGUCCUUAGAAAUAGAAGGACAGACAUAGUUAGCAUGGUUU